GCUUACGGCCACACUCCCUGAGCACGCCCGAUCUCGUCUGAUCUCGGAGCUAAGCAGGGUCGGGCCCGGUUAGUACUUGGAUGGGAGACCGCCUGGGAAUACCAGGUGCUGUAAGCC
This 117-nucleotide ribosomal RNA is filed under the name Esox lucius (northern pike). Lineage: Eukaryota; Metazoa; Chordata; Actinopteri; Esociformes; Esocidae. The record is from RNAcentral.